RNAcentral lists this transfer RNA (69 nucleotides) under Marmota marmota marmota (Alpine marmot). It matches the Rfam family "tRNA". From Rfam's summary of the family: Transfer RNA (tRNA) molecules are approximately 80 nucleotides in length. Their secondary structure includes four short double-helical elements and three loops (D, anti-codon, and T loops). Further hydrogen bonds mediate the characteristic L-shaped molecular structure. tRNAs have two regions of fundamental functional importance: the anti-codon, which is responsible for specific mRNA codon recognition, and the 3' end, to which the tRNAs corresponding amino acid is attached (by aminoacyl-tRNA synthetases). tRNAs cope with the degeneracy of the genetic code in two manners: having more than one tRNA (with a specific anti-codon) for a particular amino acid; and 'wobble' base-pairing, i.e. permitting non-standard base-pairing at the 3rd anti-codon position. RNAcentral also lists the same sequence under 2 other names. The record is from Rfam by way of RNAcentral. Lineage: Eukaryota; Metazoa; Chordata; Mammalia; Rodentia; Sciuridae.
GGGGUUGUGGCUCAGUGGUAGAGCACUCACCUAGCACAUGUGAGGCACUGAGUUCAAUUGUCAGCACCA